This 196-nucleotide small RNA is filed under the name Arabidopsis thaliana (thale cress). Its description in RNAcentral is "ATSL097210". Lineage: Eukaryota; Viridiplantae; Streptophyta; Magnoliopsida; Brassicales; Brassicaceae. The record is from RNAcentral.
UUUGUUUAAAAUUACGGUUAUCAUUUAUUUAAGUUUUAGUGUUUACCCAUUGCACAUUGCACCUUAAAUAAAUGACUCAUGCUCUAAAUAAGUUAUUGACUGUCACGUCAUCGAUACACGGAAGGGCUAUGUUGCAGGAGAUUUUUCAGAUUGUGGUUUGUAUUUAUUUGACAUGAAGGUUUAUUUUGCAAAAAAA